Molecule: long non-coding RNA, 14569 nt
Filed under: Solanum lycopersicum (tomato)
Lineage: Eukaryota; Viridiplantae; Streptophyta; Magnoliopsida; Solanales; Solanaceae
Description: long non-coding RNA (SLYC_LNC000814)
Source: RNAcentral
CUCGACUACACACGAUUUUAAAAGAAACACAGGAAAACAGAAAGUAACAACUGAUAUAAUAUAAUCAAUCGUCAAAUUUCGAAACAAGACUCGAGUACAUACGAUUUUAAACGAAACACAGAAAAAAGAGAAAGUGACAACUGAUACAACAUAGAAAGAAAGGAUCCAUAAGCAAGAUCAAUGCUAUCUAUCUUAUUCUUAAUUCUCCUCAUGAAACCAAAUUCUGAUGAUCAGCUUUACUGAACUCUGCAUUGAUAAUGAACAAAACCAACAUUAAUAAUAAUAAUGAUGAUAACAAAAACAUAAUGUACUAACUAUAAUAGUAUUUUUUUUAUUAUAUAAUUACAUAUAUAAAUAUUUUGAAACUAAUAUUUCUUAACAGUAAAAUAUAAAUAAAAAAAUGCACUUAUUUUUUGAGAAAACCAAACACACUUGUAGGUGCUAGCACAUAUCAUUUUUUUGUUACUUUAUUUUUCAUACUACGAAGAGUUAGGUGUUGUUAUAGGUAAAAAAAGAUGAAAAAUUUAACAUACUUAGAGCAGUCAGUAGAGGGGCUGAUCUUGUAAGGGAUGUUGACACUACAAGUGUUAGGGAGAGCAGCAGCUUUGCCCAAAUUGAGUCCUGUAAAAGAAGAAGCAGCUGAUUUUAGGCAAGUGCAUGCGGCCUGUCGGUCUACUGUAGUCUUGGCUUGACCCAAAAGACCCUUAACACCAUCACAACAGUUUCUGAGAGGACCGCGGUUCAUUAGAUAAGGGAGACAAGGAGCCAAGGUAGAUGUAACUUGACCACAAGUUAAAGCCUCUGCAUGGGGUGCAACCACUACCAUGCAUAAAAGCACAAAGCAUGCAAUCUUGUUAACCAUUUCCAUUCUUAAUGAUUUAUGAAAAUUAGAAUAGUAAUUAUGAGGUUUAUGAGGAAGUAGUGGAUGAGAAGAAAUGUGUUUUGGUUGAGUGUUUUUAUAGAGGGAAAUUUGGAGUAGAUGGCCAAUGGAGGAGUGAGAGAGGUAGUUGGUUGUUAGGUUGAAAAUUUAAAGCAUUUUUAUGGUUGUACAUUAUUUUGCUGGCUCUAAAGUCAUGUGGUAGCUAGUUCUAACAUCUUACGUGUAGGAGUUUUUUUUUUCUCACCAAAGUUCCCAUAAAUAGAUUCCUCGAUCAAUGUAGGACUUUUACCUACUUUAAUAUCCCUUUUUUUACGUAGAUCCAAUUGAGAUGUGGAUCGAAAAUUCAAACAGGAAUGAAUAUAACUCUAAUAUCAUGUUAAGAUAUGUUUUUUAGAUCUAAUUUAAUAAUAAAUGCUAGCUUAUGAGAGGAGUAUUGUCCACAUCCUUAUAAGUAAAUCAUCAGUUUAUUUCCUGAUUAACGUGAGACUUUUACCUACUCUAACAGUUUGAUCGAAGAUUUUUUUUAAAAAAAAAUUAUGAAGUUAUAGAGUUAAAGAUGAAAUUGUAUUGGAUAAUACUUUUACGAAAGAAUAAAAAUGAUGUGAUUAUAGCUUUAAAAAUAAAAAAAAUAAUUAAGAUUUUAAAUACAACUUCAAGUUAAAUAUUUUACGACCAUAAAUUUAAAUUUGGGAAGUGACGAAGUUUAUUUUACUUCUGGCGUUCUUAGCUGGAUUACAACAACGUUUAAUUAAUCAAGGUCUUCAUUAGUGUUUAGACACUUAACCACCCAAGUCUUUAAUGCUUUUUCUACUUACCAGCUUUAUCUCUUAAAAAUUGAUACAAAAUGACUACGUAUUAUAUUUUAUAAAGUUGAAAAUGUGUUCCAUUUUCUUUUUCAAAAUUAUCCUUAACACGUUCCUUAUUAAAUGUAUACAUUUAGAAAUAAUCAUAUCAAUACACGAUCAAUAGUUAUAACGUAUACUUGUUUCUUAGUAUUUCUUAACCCUUUAAUCACCAAAGAUGACGGUGGUUUUAUAAAUAGGCAUUUCAUUAAUAUAGAUUUUGAGUUUAAAUCAUAUUAAUUAUAAAGUCAUAUUAGUCAUUUUUUUAUGGUACCAACACUACAAUUAAUUACCGCUACAAUAUGCAUUUUUAGCGGGAAUUUAACACUCUUUAUAUAUGUUUCUAAAGUCUUUAGCGACAUUGAUUUUAACGACAUUUAACUAAUGCAGGUAAAGACUUUAACACUCUUUGUUAAUGUCAGCAUUUAUUACCGUCAAAAGCUGUUUUUUGUGGUAGUGCAAUUUAGGAUAAAAAGUCUUACAUCGAUCAAAUACAUGAAAGAUACUUUUCGUUUUUUAAGAGUCAAACAAUUUAAGUUUGACUAGUAAUUUACACACGGAAUUUUCUUUUUAUUGAAAUGAAAUGUAUAUAUAUACUUAUAAACUACGUAAAAGUAUUAUAAGUCAUAAUUCAAAAUAUUUUUAAAAUGUAUAAAAAAUUUACGAUUAAAAUAGAUUUGUUUGAAUCUCGAUAUUCAAAAAGUGUCACAUAAAAUGAGACGAAUGGAAUAUAUAUAUAAUACGUUAGUGAUGCGUUAUAAAAUUAUAUGGGCUUAAAUCUAAAAUGGACAAUAUUACUAAUGACUUGAACCUUUAAAAAUGAUAUCUGUUCAACUCAUGUGUCAUCUUUAUUGAUAUAUAUGGACCAAAGCUCUACAUAUAGGCAAAAUCUCAUGUGGUGGAGUAAACCACUGCGUCUAUAUAAGAGGAGGUGCAUGUGAAACCCCAGAUAAAAAGUGUAACAUCAACAAAAUCAAUUGAUGAAAACAUAAAUUAUAUAAAUAAGCAAAUUUUACAUUUUAAUGACAUAUUUUAAAAUCGCGCAGACCUAGAUUUAACUAGAUUCAGGUAGGAAAAAAGAAACAGAACCUGACACUUUGACGUUUCUUAUAUGUUGCACAAAGUGUUGAUUGCUAAUUGGACCACGAAUUCAGCUAUAUUAUUACAUGCUUUCUCUUGGUCCAUGUAGUAUAAAUUUGUGUCGGUCCCAAUAUUAAUUUGGUAGAAGUUGAGUAAAGAUUUGAGCCACCCAAACUCAUUAAUUAGGCCAAACAAGAGGAAAUUUCUUUGAGACAUAUAGUCUUACCUAGAGGCCUAUAAUUUGGUGUAUAAUGUGGGGAUAUGUUUCACAUGUAUGAGUAUUAUAAAGUUUAUAUAAGUUUUAUAUAAAUGAUUUUCUUUAAGAUAAUAAAAUAAUAUUUACUGACCUUUCCAGAUUGGAUUAUUUUUUGACCUAUAAUUUUAGGUUGAUUUUCUCUGAGUUGUUUCAUAUAUCAAUUUUGACUAUUUGUUUAAAUAGUGUAUUAAUAAUACGAGGUUGUGUAUUGAUUGGUGUGGUUCGAUUUGAGAAUUUAUCAGUUUUAUUUAUUGAUUAUUGGUUUGUAAUCAUAUUUUAACCGUUAUUGAACAGUUAAAAUAUUAAUUUAUCGAUUAUUGGAUUAUUAGUUAGUGAUCGCUAUCGAUUUGAUUAUUGGAUUAACAGUUCAAACAAUUCCCAUUGAGAAUUACUAAUGGACUAAUCACUCAUUACAAUACGCAGUAGUCAGUAGUCACUAUGAACUUUCCCCGGUUAGUCUAUCUACAUAAAAUACUUAAUGAAACUCCAUAUUAAUUCAAAUAGAGAUGUCAAUAUUGCCCAAACUAGCAAAUUCAAAAGGAUUUCUCAUAACAACCAAGCCAAUUUUGAUAUGAACUAUAAAGAGAAACCAUUACGACACUGCUAACAAAAAUCAUUAAUGAUCAUGAGACUUACUAAUAAAAGCUUUUUCGUUUGCAAAUUCUAGCAUAGGGCGAUAUACAGACAUAUCUCAUUGACUCACUCACUGUAACUAGAAGAUAAAAACAAACACUUAAAGUAAGGGAACCAACCAUCUUAACCUCAAUUUUAGACACUUAGAAAAUGCUAUUCAGUAUAACUUUUUGGCGUGGGAGCAGUGACAGUGAAUUAAUGAGUGAUGUCGCAACUCUAAAAAUUCCUAAGGCCUUAAGUGAUAUAAAUGUAAGAUACUAAACUUGUUAUUAGGUUAUCACGACACUCAAUUAGAAAUAUGGCUAAACCGAAAUCCAAAUCGGUAAGACGAUGAAAAGUUUAUAAUAAAUUGAGAUUCGAACCGUUAAAUUAUUAAUCUGAAUCUUUGACCCAAUAAUAAAUAUCAAUCUCGAUUUGAUUUGAUCAGCUCUAUGGUGAUAUUUCAAAUAAAAAUCAUGAAGUUAAAUUAAAAAUUGUUGUUUUUUAAGUUGCCACCUAAUGCAUGGAAGAACUUGAUUAAAAAAGUGUCACGACCCAAAUCCGGGCCGCGACUGGCACCACACUUACCCUCCUAUGUGAGCGAACCAACCAAUCUAACCUUAACAUUUCAAUAUAAUAUCAACAGAAAGUAAUGCGGAAGACUUAAACUCAUUAAAUAAAGACCAAUUCAUUAACUUCUAAAAUUCAACAUCUAUUAUUCCCCAAAAUCUGGAAGUCAUCAUCACAAGAACAUCUACGAUCAAACGACUAAACUAAGAGUAUUCUAAAAGCUAAAAAUACAUAAGAAGCUAGUCCAUGCAGGAAGUUCAAGGCAUCAAGACUUGAAGAAGAAGAUCCAGUCCAAGCUAGAAGCAUUAGCUCACCCUGAAUUUCCGAUGUAGCAAGACUGACUUGAAUUACUGUUGAGUUGAAGACGAUGGCACGUUUGCUGCACUCCACAAAUAAACAAGAAGAGAACAUAAAAGUAGGGGUCAGUACAAAACACGGGUACUGAGUAGAUAUCAUCGGCCAACUCAAAAUAGAAAUCAAUAUAUACCAAGUAAUAUCAUAAAAUCAACUAUGAUACUCAACAUGUAGCAACAACAAAUACUAUAUCGUUAACAAUUACCGUCAAGUUCACACAUGAGGACUCAAGCCUCGAUACCAUACUCAUUUGGGAAUCAUGUUCAUUAGAUUGAGUAUAUUAACAUCUUUCAAGAUUCAUUAUCUUUAUUUCUCUGUGUCGGUACGUGACACUCCGCUCCCUCAAUAUUCAUUAAUCCUCUUGUGUCGGUACGUGACACUCCGAUCCCCUAAAUCUAUGUGUCGGUUCGUGACACCCGAUCCCCUAAAUCUAUGUGUCGGUUCGUGACACCCGAUCCCCUAAAUCUACGUGUCGGUUCGUGACACCCGAUCCCCUAUACUACGUGUCGGUUCAUGACACCCGAUCCCUAAAUCUAUGUGUCGGUUCGUGACACCCGAUCCCCUAAUUCUACGUGUCGGUUCGUGACACCCGAUCCCCUAAUACUACGUGUCGGUUCGUGACACCCGAUCCCCUAAUUCUACGUGUCAGUUCGUGACACCCGAUCCCGAGCCAUCCAAUGGUUCGUGCACACGACUCAUAAUCUCUAUGUCGGUUCGUGACACCCAUCCCCAAAUGUCUACGUGUCGUGUUUCGUGACACCCGAUCCCCUAAUCUAUACGUUGUCGGUUAUGACACCCUCCCUUCACGUGUCAGUUCGUGACACCCGAUCCUACUUAAUUCUACGUGUCGGUUCGUGACACCCGAUCCCUAAUCUCCUUCCAUCAAUUCAUCAAGCCUUCUUUCUCAAUUGUAUCUCAAAAAUGAGAAUUAAUUCUCAAUUGUGCUAAACGUGUAUUUUUAGCGGCAAUUGACACUCUUUGUAUCUGUCCCUUAAACUUUUAAACGACAUUGGUUCUAAUGAAACUUAACUAAUGUCGGUAAAGACUUUAACACUCUUUAUUAGGCCUCAUUUGUUUGCACUUAAUGGAGGUCUGAAUCUAAAUCAUUCAAAUUCAGCUUAUUAAGUACAUUUGGUUUUAGGUUUGAAUCUCAAUCAGCCCAUUAAGUUCAUUUGUUUUAUUUUUAAAAAGCCUCUUAAUGGGUCUGAAGAGGUCUGAAUGAAUCAGAUCUGUAGGAGACUCUUAACAACAUUCAGAUUUGUUUAAUAAGUUAUCAAAUAAUAAAUAUCGCUUCUCUACUUUAACCGUGCUUUUUAUCGCAUAACUAAAAACUUUGUUUUUCUCUUUUCUCAAUCAAACGUCAUUUUCCCCUUCUUGAACUGAUAAAUUUUCAUAAAUCUUUUCAAGUUUUUUUUUAUAUUAAUAAUUUUCUUGUAUUGACUGUGUCAAAAACAUUGUUGGUGUAUUAGCUAGCGUUUAUCAAGGUUUUUGAAUGAAAAAAAUUUCCAAAAUCAUGAUUAUUAAAACUUUUUAUUAUCAAAAGCGAUAUAUUUUGUUGAAAUGAAUUUUUAUUAUUUUUAUUAGUUUAAUGUUAAUUUCACAUGCACAUUCAGAUAUUGAAAACAAACAAUAUUAAUUAUUUAGUGUUCAGAUUUAGAGACCACAUCUUAAUAUUCAGAUGUGUAUUCAGAUCAAAGUACCUGAAUCUUAAUAUUCAGAUGUGUAUUCAGAUUCAGACCUCUUAGUCUGGCUGGAAACAAAUAAGGCCUUCCGCUAUUUUUGUUGUAGUGAGUGGUAAUUAAUUAAAAUUAUAGUUAUAUAAACUAAUUAGCUAGUAUAUGUUUGCUUAACUAUACUAUUUUCCCAAAUAAGUUUAUAUUAUCCAUCAUAAAAUAUAAAUAACCACACGUAUUAGAAUGUAUAAAAAUAAUGUACAAUAGAGUAUAUUAGUAACACUUAUAUAUUAGUAAUAUUUGUAUUAGUUAUGCUUGCAUUAGCUAUAUAUAACUUUUUAUUUAUGCAUUGUUUGGUUUGAUGUAUUAAAAAUAGUACGCAUUGUAUAAUUAUAUUUAUUUACAAAAUAGUCUCCACAAUUAUGACGGAAAAAACGUAAAAUGUUUUUAGGGUCAAUUGGGUCUUUAACCAUAUUAAUACACAUAAAAAUUAAGAAAUUGACGCGACUCCUUAAAAAGGGCAUGUAAUUACAGUGGGCGCGAAAUGGCGUGAGCAUAUGUGAUGAUUCCCCAACUCAAUGCGGAGGAGCUCGUAAAGUUUGCUGAGAAAGUUUUUUGUGUGCUUUGAGCGCAAGAUCCAUGGGUUACCACAUAUGAAAAAUUAAGGAAUUUCUGUAAUUCCUAAAAAAAGGGCCUGUGGGUGUGGAAAUGAGCAAGAAAAUAAUAGCAUGAGCAUACGUGAUAGGUCCCAACUCAUGAAUUUGGAGGUCCUCAUAAAAAAUUUUCAAAUUUUUUUUGCGUGCUCAUGGCUAAAGAUCUAUGGAUAAUACAAAUAGAAAAUUGUGGAAUUUAAGCUAUUUCAAAAAUGGGCCUGAAGAUGCGGAUAUGAGUGAGAAAAAAAUGGUGUGAUCAUGCGCGAUGGUUCCCAACUCAAUAUAGAGGUCAUCCUACAAUUUUCUUAGAAAUUUUUUGAGUGCUCCAAGCGCCAAAUCUAUGAGCUAAUACAUAUAAAAAAAUUGAAGAAUUCACGCGAUUCACAAAAAUGACAUAUGGAUGCGAAAAUGUGCGCGAAAAAAAUGGUGUGAGCAUACAUGAUGGUUCUGCAACUCAAUACGGUGGUCCUCAUAAAGUUCUUUCAGAAACAUCUUUUGGGUGCUCCAAAAGUCAGACCCAUAGGCUAAUACACACAAAAAUUGAAGUAUUUGCGUGAUUUCAGAAAAGGCAUGUAUAUGCAAAAAUGGGAGAAGAAAAUGGUGUGAAUAUAUAUACGUGAUGGUUCCCAACUCCAUACGGAGAUCCAUAUAAAGUUUUUUGAGAAAAUAAUUUUUGGUGCUCCGAAUAUAUCGUCUGUAUGGUUGCUACGGAGCAUCUGAUUUGUAUAGAUCGACAUAUCAUUUGUAUUAAAGCGCAAUGAUUGUAUAUAUAUAACUAUAACAGAGGAGGAGGAGGGACUAGGGAAGAGGAGGAGGAGGAGGAGGAAGUUGUCUCAAUGUAUUUGAUAAAAUAGUUUUUGUGAUAAGAGGCGGACCCACCCUUUUAGGUAGGGUGCACGUGCACUUGUUAAUUUCGGUAAAUAAAAUCAUGAGUUUGUGAGUGUAUGUGUGUGUAUUGAUAUAUAUUGAAAAAUUGAGAGAAAUUAGAAUAUAAUUAACGUACUCAUCAUAAAAAGCAUAAGUAUAUAUGUUAUUGUGCUGCCGGUACAAGCUAAAGUAUGCACAUGCAAGACUUGAAUUUGAAUCUAGCUAGAGUGUUGUUUCACUUUUUUUUAUGUUAAGCUUAUCAUAGAGGCUAAAGCUUAUAUUUGAGCUAAGGUAAUAUUGGUGCACCAACUUCAAAUUCCGAUUCGCCUUUUGCAGCAUUAGUUAUUUUUAGCCAAUACGAUAACUAAAAUGGAUCGGAGGGAAUAUCAUGAUUUGAAUAAAGGAUCUAACCAGAGUCAAAUUUAAAAUAUAUUGAUGAAAUUUCUAAAAUUCCAACGUUAUAUCAUCCUUUUCUUAAGAAUUACCAAAUCAUAAUUAGAGUUGAGAAAAAUUUAAAGCAGAAAAUAACAUGUAUUACUAUAUGAAGAUUGGGUUGUAACAUAAGCAACCACCAAUGUUCAUUACAAGACUCGACAAUAUAUAAGUACUCCAAAUUACAAAAGAAAAGAGACAACAUAUAUAUAUAUAUAUAUAUAUAUAUAUAUAUAAUGAUGGAUCAAACUCGAUAGAUAAAUCCAUCUUAUUCUUCAUCUCCACAAGCCAGAUUUAGCUUUCAUCAACCUUACUGGACCCUGCAAUGCAAUAUUAAAUCAACAUUAAAUAUAUAGUAUGCGCGUACACACAUAUAUAUAUCGUUUUGUAACAUAUAAGUUUAAUCAAUAGUCAGACAUAUAUAAAUUACAAAUAAAAGAGAUAUUAUACUGUCAAUUGAAUAAGUAUAAUCACCGUACGUUGAGCAAUCAGUGGAAGGGCUGAUCUUGUAAGGAAUGUUGACUCCACAAACUCCAGGGAGCCCAGCGGCUUUUCCUGUAUCAAUGCCCUUAAUAGAAUUAGCUGCCGAUUUAAGGCAAGUGCACGCUGUCUUCCGGUCUUCUGGGGUCUUGGCUGCGCCCAAUAGACCCUUAACACCACCACAACACCCUCCUAGAGGGCCGCGACCCUCGAGAUAAGGGAGACAAGGAGCCAAGCCAGACGUAACCUCGCCGCAGCUCAGUGACUCUGCAUGGGGUGCAACCACCACCAUGCAAAAAACCACAAAGCAUGCAAUUUUUCCAAACAUUUCCAUUCUUAUAAAAAAAUUGAGUAAAGAUUAUAGAUAUAGUAGUACAAUUGUAUUUGUUUUGUGUGUUAGGUGUAAAAGCUAGUGAGUAUUUAUAGAGAGGAAAUUAGUGGAAUUAAAAAUGAGAGAAUUAGUUGGGAGUUAAGAGUUAAAUGAAAUGAGUAUAAAGUCAAAUUUCGUUUGUUACGUGACUAAUUUUUAUUGAACCACGCUAUACACGAUUUAAGGCCCAAUCCACAAAUUGUCCCAAUACUACUUUUCCUGUUACAGUGACGAAGUCAGAAAAUUUAAUUUAUCGUAAUCUUUUUCUUAAAAUAAUGUGUGUUCGAUGGCUCUACUCAUGCUUUGAAUCAUUUUAUUUUUUAUUCUUUAUGGUAUAAAGUAAAUGUUUUUUUUUUAGAAAAAAAAAAAAUACAAGGAGAAGAGUGGUUAUUAAAUAAAGAAGAGUAAUAAAUAAGGAGAAGGGUGGGAUGUAAAAAAGUCAUAAUACAUGAAAUUGAUUAAACAAUGUCUCGAGUACAAACUAAGGAGACAGAGUACCUUACUGUUAGAUGUGGAAAUAUUAUGGUACAUGAGUUAAUUUUGAAACAAAUGACCCAUUAAUUUCUUUUAAAAAUUGGAUUUAAGGUGUAAUGUUUAUUUAUUUAAAUAAAUCAAUUUGCUUUCAUGACUUUUUUUUUUUAAAAAUGAGUUUAAGGUGUAAAGUUUAUUACUUAAUUAUAAAUGAUUAAAUAUUUUUUGUAUGUUCAAUACAAAUGCUUGUUUCCGGUCAAAAAGAUCAUGAAAAAAGUAUACAAAAUAAUUAAACCUAUAGCAAAAUUAUAAUUAUGUGUUAUAGUUAUAAGUUGCAUAAUUUGCUCACCAUAGCGAAUAUGCUAUGGCUAUUUCGCUACAUAUAUAUAUAUAAAAGAAUUUAAGAUAUAUAUAUUUAUAUAUAUAUAUAUAUGUGUGUGUGUGUUAUAGUUAUAAGUUGCAUAAUUUGCUCACCAUAGCGAAUAUGCUAUGGCUAUUUCGCUACAUAUAUAUACAAAAGAAUUUAAGAUAUAUAUAUAUUUAUAUAUAUAUAUAUAAUAAUAUAUAUUUGCAUAAAUUAUUGUCCGUCUCUCGUGGCUGCCUUUCAAUUCAAUUUAUGUGUUUGUAUAUCUGUAUAUAAUUUGAAUUUGUAUACAAUUUAAUCGAAAUAAAAAUGUUGGUAAUCAAUCAAAAAUUGCUCUCUGUUAUACAUUGUAUUUUAUAUAAUCUAUACUUCUAUAAAGCGAGAAAGAGAAAGACAAAAGAGACCUAAGCAUGAGAAUAUUUGGAUUGUAUAAUUAUAAGUGUAUAGAACAAAAAUAUUUGUAUUUGCAUGUGUACAUACAUUUUCUUCCGCUUUGUACAAACAGAAACACAUUCAAAUAUUAUAAUCGUUAAAGUCAAAGUUACAACGGAAAAUGAAACUAACAAGAAAAUCGUAAAACGAUAAUGAACUAGUAAAACAAAGAAACCAUUGAAGAAGAGACUACUAGAAGGGAGAUGAGAAACACAGACUCAAAAAAAGGAAUGAGAGGACUAGACACUUUUCUACAAUAAUUUACGUAAUCCCUAAAUCACGUAUUACUUAUAUUGAAAGUUCGAACCGUUUUAUACCCACUACUCAAUUCGAAUCCCAAAUUAACCUGGUCCUAUAUUUUUAGCCCAAUAACAACUUAUAUGACAUUAAUAUCUAUAUUUGGUUAAACUUGAUUCAUAACAUAUUGCUCCUACCCAUAUUUUUAUUUUGUUGUGAAUUGAUAUUAAUUACUUUAUAAGCUAUUUUUAAAAAGGAAUAUGUUUAUUAUAAAAUGACAUUACAAACUUAAAAUAAUUUGUCAAAAAAAUUUAAAAAUUUGAGGCACACUAGAUGUGUACCGUGUUGUGAUAGAUGGGUUGUGUAGAGAGAGGAGAUUUACGAAAGCACAAAAUUGUUUGAUAACAUACUUUUUAAUUUGCUUUUAUAAUCCUCUUUUUUUAGAAAUAUUUUAUUUUUAGUUUUUAGGUAACAUGUUUAAGGUCAUAAUAAGACUAAAUGUCGUUUUGAUAUAUUUGACAUAACUUCAAUUUAGGAUCACAAGAUUAAAUUAUCUUUUUAAACUUUGUAUCAAGUUAAAUUAGAUUGUUAUUUUUUUGAAAUGAGAGAAAAUGAUCAAAUGACCCCUUAACGACGUAUAACCGGAUUUUCAACUAUACACUUAAAUUUUAUGGGAGUCCUAUCACCCUCUGAACUAUUUAAAAAUGAAAUAAUUAUACCGUUAAAAAGCCAUAACCACCAAAUCUAUGGUGGAAUGUGAGUUUCACCACAUCAUCAAAUUAUUAUUUUUUUAAUUCUUUUCUUAUAUAUUCUUACCUAUCUCUUGAAAUACUGAAGAUAUUUUCACCAUUUUCACCAUUACUAGAACACCACGAGUCCAUUAAAAUUGGGUCUUUAAGGAAUAAUAAUAAUUUCAGAGCUCGUUCAAAGAUAUUUGGAUUUUGCUCAUUUGAAACCUAAAAAUCAAAUUAGAAAAAGUUGAAGGGGGAAGAGAAGACGAAUAUGAUGGAAUAUUGCCAUUAAUGGUGGUCACCGAAGAUAAGAAAUCCUCUCAAGAAAGAUGAGGAAGAGGAGCCUACCAUGUCUUCCACAUUGUCAUCUAUAGCGACGACAAUUUCAAAAAAGAAGACACCGAUUAUACGACAAUUGAUGGACUAACUAGAUUAAUAGCUAGAAUUUUUGAGAUAUAGUUGAUUAAUUGAGAUUUGAUAUUAGUAAUUAAAGGAUAUAUUAGAAAAAAUUAUUUUUUUCUGGUUGGCCCAAUCAGAUUCAAAGUAAACUCAUAUUAAUUUUUCUCAAAUCAGAUCCAAAGCAUCUUGGGGUGAUAUAAAUAUAUGUCAUCAAUUGAUUUAGGUUGAUUGAUUUUGCAAGAGCUUUAUAAAUGUUUGAAAAUUUGUUUGGAGUCGACGAAAGUGAAGAUGGUGGCUGUAAGACUUAGGUGAUUGAGAGAUUUGUUUAUAUUGAUGGACAAGAAAGAAAACAAACAAAUAAUUAAAAAUGCAUAUAUUUGUUGAAAAAAGAUAUUCCAUCUGUUUCACAAAAAAUGAUUUGGUUUGACUUGACAUGAAGUUUAAGUAAAUAAAGAAGACUUUUGAAUCUUGUGGUCGUAAAUCAAAGUUAUGUCAAAUGUACAAAAUUAUCUUUUAAUUUUAUGGUCUUAAAUAUGGCACGUGGAAAGCUAAAGUUAAAAUGUUAGAGGUCAUUCUUUUGGAAAUAAACUAAAAUGGAAAGAAUGUCACUCUUUUUUAAAUAAAAAAGAGUUUAACUACUAUCCACCGACGGUGGACAAAAAAUUACACGGGCAUAUUAUUUUUGGAAAUAUUUAAUUUUUUAAUUAAUAUAUUUUAAUAUUAUAAUAUUAAAAUAAAAAUAAUAACAGAGUGUUAUAUGGUAACUUGAAUUAUAAAUUAAUUGUACAAAUUUAAUUAGGAUUCUUAUUUGUCUUACCAAAACAAAAAAUACAUAAUUUCUUGUGUUUUCUUAUUGGAAAGCACUUCAAUCCUUCAAAGAAAAUCAUUGCCAACAUAUUUUUUUUUAUAAGAACCGGUACUUGUUGCCAUUGAAGCAAUGCUAGCAAAAUAUUAAUAAGAAACUAUUCCAGAAACAUAAAGUGCAACAAAAUCAACAUAUUCAAACUUAUAAGAGUAAGCAAAACAAAAUCAAACACUAUUAAAUACGGCCCAUGAUUUAAUCACAAUUGCAUGCUUGGUUACAUUUUUUUAAACGAAAUCCUUCUUUUGAACAAACAAACUCUUGACCAAUAAUGGAUUUAUCUUUUCUUGAUCUACUAAUUCGAUUUUUGCGCACACUAAAACCAUUACGAUGAGCAUAAUCAAGAUAAAAUUUAAAUCUAGUAUCAAGUGAUUGAAAUUCCAUACCGAUGUAAGACUCUCUUAAUUCUUGCUCACCUAGUUGAGGAACAAAAGAUACAACUGCAUUCAUGUUGCUUUCUAUAUCCUCCAAGGAAUCUUCAAUUCCUUCUGCAUUUUGCUCUUCUAAAUUAGAGAUUUCAAAAGUUUCCUGCAAUACACAAUUAUUAGAUAUUAGACUAAUAGGGUAAGUUAGCUUUAAAAUUUUAAAUAUUUUUCAUGGCUAAUGUAUUGAACUUCUUCAAUUUGCUAAAAAGUUCUUAAACGUAUUCUUUAAAUAUCUUCAUCACUACAAAACAUAAAUUUCUUCAUACAUUAAAACAAGAAUAUUUCUUUGAAACGUUUAUUCAUGUUGCGAAAAAGAUUUAAUAAGUUAUGUAAAAAAAGAUAUACGAGGAAAACGCUACCAUGAUAAUUGUUUCAAAUUGCUUCAAUGGUGGAUAGUUGGUUGCUUCAAUGGUUUAUGUAGAAAAAGAAGAACGUUAAUCCAACUAAGAAAACACAAGAAAUUAUGUAUUUUUUAUUUUUGGUAAGACAAAUAAGAAUCCUAAUUAAAUUUGUACAAUUAAUUUAUAAUUCAAGUUACCAUAUAACACUAUGUUAUUAUUUUUAUUUUAAUAUUAAUAAUAUUAAAAUAUAUUAAUUAAAAAAAUUAAAUAUUUCCAAAAAUAAAAUGUCCGUGUAAUUUUUUGUCCACCGUCGGUGGAUAGCAGUUAAACUCUAAAGAUCAAAUAAAGUUUUAAUAACAGAUUUUGGUGCUCACUCUCCAGAGAGAGUCAAAUACAUUUAGGGAACUAAUUAUUUCAAUUUUGAAUAGUACAAGGGAUGAUUAGACCCCCGUGAAAUUUAAUUGUAUAGCGUUGAGGGCAUUUAAUCAUUUUCUCUUUGAAACAGAGAAUAUAUAUCAUUACGGAUCUAAUCUCCAAAAGAUGAAGAGUGAGUAAACCCUGAAUAAUUUGCGACAUUUAAUACGUUGUUUACUUUAAUUAAUGGACUUAUAAUAAUAAGUUGGAAAGGACCGAAAAAGUUUAAUAUAUAUUGCAUGGUGAAUUUGUACCUUCAUGAAUUUAUUUAAAAGUAUACUUUUUAUAGGCAUUUGUGAUGGUGAUGAUGUUAUAAGUAUAUUUCUCAAUAAUUAGCAUUAUACGUGUAAGAAGUGGUUAGAAAAAGGAGGUACCUAGAUGAAUGAGCACACAAUAGCGUAUACUAUAUUACUCGAAUUUGAUAUAUAUGUGUAAUGCAUAUUAAAAGAACCCUAGUAAAAGUAGACCAAAAAUAUUGAAUAGACGAGAGAGUACAUAUACCAAAUAAGAUAGAUGUGUAUUAUCAAAGAUUAGAUUAAUACAACAUAGCCAAUCGUGAAAUUUCGAUACAAGACUCGACUACACACGAUUUUAAAAGAAACACAGGAAAACAGAAAGUAACAACUGAUAUAAUAUAAUCAAUCGUCAAAUUUCGAAACAAGACUCGAGUACAUACGAUUUUAAACGAAACACAGAAAAAAGAGAAAGUGACAACUGAUACAACAUAGAAAGAAAGGAUCCAUAAGCAAGAUCAAUGCUAUCUAUCUUAUUCUUAAUUCUCCUCAUGAAACCAAAUUCUGAUGAUCAGCUUUACUGAACUCUGC